Molecule: long non-coding RNA, 1536 nt
Filed under: Homo sapiens (human)
Lineage: Eukaryota; Metazoa; Chordata; Mammalia; Primates; Hominidae
Description: non-protein coding PVT1:3
Rfam family: Pvt1 oncogene conserved region 1 (bases 35-212)
Source: RNAcentral
CCCCGCGCUCCUCCGGGCAGAGCGCGUGUGGCGGCCGAGCACAUGGGCCCGCGGGCCGGGCGGGCUCGGGGCGGCCGGGACGAGGAGGGGCGACGACGAGCUGCGAGCAAAGAUGUGCCCCGGGACCCCCGGCACCUUCCAGUGGAUUUCCUUGCGGAAAGGAUGUUGGCGGUCCCUGUGACCUGUGGAGACACGGCCAGAUCUGCCCUCCAGCCUGAUCUUUUGGCCAGAAGGAGAUUAAAAAGAUGCCCCUCAAGAUGGCUGUGCCUGUCAGCUGCAUGGAGCUUCGUUCAAGUAUUUUCUGAGCCUGAUGGAUUUACAGUGAUCUUCAGUGGUCUGGGGAAUAACGCUGGUGGAACCAUGCACUGGAAUGACACACGCCCGGCACAUUUCAGGAUACUAAAAGUGGUUUUAAGGGAGGCUGUGGCUGAAUGCCUCAUGGAUUCUUACAGCUUGGAUGUCCAUGGGGGACGAAGGACUGCAGCUGGCUGAGAGGGUUGAGAUCUCUGUUUACUUAGAUCUCUGCCAACUUCCUUUGGGUCUCCCUAUGGAAUGUAAGACCCCGACUCUUCCUGGUGAAGCAUCUGAUGCACGUUCCAUCCGGCGCUCAGCUGGGCUUGAGCUGACCAUACUCCCUGGAGCCUUCUCCCGAGGUGCGCGGGUGACCUUGGCACAUACAGCCAUCAUGAUGGUACUUUAAGUGGAGGCUGAAUCAUCUCCCCUUUGAGCUGCUUGGCACGUGGCUCCCUUGGUGUUCCCCUUUUACUGCCAGGACACUGAGAUUUGGAGAGAAUCCUGUUACACCUGGGAUUUAGGCACUUUCAAUCUGAAAAAAUACAUAUCCUUUCAGCACUCUGGACGGACUUGAGAACUGUCCUUACGUGACCUAAAGCUGGAGUAUUUUGAGAUUGGAGAAUUAAGGCCAACAGAGAUUUUGAGAAACACAUUGAAGGAUCUGUUAACACUUGAUAUACCCAAUAAAAGCAGUGGUUGUGCCAGUGCUGAUCUGUCUUGAUGUGAAUGUGAACAAUGGGAACCUGAGCUGAGCAGUUAAUGCUAGGGUGACAGAAACUGGACCUCUCCCAAGACAUGUGACAGAGUAAUACAGCAGCCAACUUCUUCGCCAAAUUAAAGUUUUACAAGAUUUAACCUGUCAUCAAGACCUGGGAUUUUGGUGAGCCAGUCUUGGUGCUCUGUGUUCACCUGGUUCAUCUGAGGAGCUGCAUCUACCCUGCCCAUGCCAUAGAUCCUGCCCUGUUUGCUUCUCCUGUUGCUGCUAGUGGACAUGAGAAGGACAGAAUAACGGGCUCCCAGAUUCACAAGCCCCACCAAGAGGAUCACCCCAGGAACGCUUGGAGGCUGAGGAGUUCACUGAGGCUACUGCAUCUUGAGACUCAGGAUGAAGACCCAGCUUGGGGCUGUCAAAGGUUUUUUGCAUGUCUGACACCCAUGACUCCACCUGGACCUUAUGGCUCCACCCAGAAGCAAUUCAGCCCAACAGGAGGACAGCUUCAACCCAUUACGAUUUCAUCUCUG